Molecule: ribosomal RNA, 253 nt
Filed under: uncultured bacterium
Lineage: Bacteria
Description: partial 16S ribosomal RNA
Rfam family: Bacterial small subunit ribosomal RNA
Source: RNAcentral
GACGAAGGAUGCAAGCGUUAUCCGGAUUCAUUGGGUUUAAAGGGUGCGUAGGUGGCCUUAUAAGUCAGUGGUGAAAUCUCUCAGCUUAACUGGGAAAUUGCCAUUGAUACUGUAGGGCUUGAGUACAGAUGCCGUUGGCGGAAUAUGACAUGUAGUGGUGAAAUACAUAGAGAUGUCAUAGAACACCGAUUGCGAAGGCAGCUGACGAAACUGUAACUGACACUGAGGCUCGAAAGUGCGGGGAUCAAACAGG